Molecule: non-coding RNA, 72 nt
Organism: Pangasius djambal
Lineage: Eukaryota; Metazoa; Chordata; Actinopteri; Siluriformes; Pangasiidae
Source: the annotation of a GenBank genome assembly
UCCCUGGAGGACUAGCGGUUAGGCUGCGGCACUCCCACUGCCGUGGCCGGGGUUCAAUUCCCAGCCAGGGAA